This is a long non-coding RNA of Vigna angularis (adzuki bean), 736 nucleotides long. RefSeq lists it as uncharacterized. The transcript has 3 exons. Lineage: Eukaryota; Viridiplantae; Streptophyta; Magnoliopsida; Fabales; Fabaceae. The record is from RefSeq and is a predicted model, not a curated record.
UGUUGUGCACGGAAAGCUGAGCCAAAAAUCAUUUCUCUGAAAAUAUUAAAAACGCACCAAUCUUUGCAUGCAAGCACGCCACGUGUCGCGGGAGAAGCUUCCAAAGCAGGGUUUGGUGUGCAGGUGGCAGGCUGGGAGACGCUCGUCCGUUUUGACGUGGAAAUCCACAAAAUCUGAGUUUUGAGAAACUCUCUCUCUCACUUGCACGCACACUUCGUCUUCCCCAGAACCUAAAACCUCCAUUUUUCUCCAACUUCUCUCUAAGAACCUUCAUCUUCUCUCUACCAUUACUCAUUUCUUUCAACUCCAAUCAACUUUCUGAAACCGUAGGAACGUUCACGGCGUCGUGAGCUUUCACUGGAACCGAACAUAUUAGAAUUCUGCAUCCGAGUUAGUGAAACACUUGAGAAUCACGUUGCGGGUAGGAAAUUUUGUUUGGACAAGUUAACAAACGUUCGCGUAGGGAGUUCACUGCUAGACCAGAUGGUGGUGCAUCCCUUGAACAAAUGCUGGAAGAAGAAAAUUUGGAUGAAGCUAAUCUGGUGGAAGUUGAAGUAAAGGCAGAGCCUUAGAGUGCUCGUUAGAUCAGGACUGUAAAUGUUAGUGUAGUUUGAACGUUCGGCCAAGUAUUUUGUUAGGCCGUUCGUCUUAAUCUUAUAUUCCUCUAUUUUGACGUACGUUGUUUUAUAUAUCAAAGAACGUUCGUUCCAGGUUUUCCCUUGUAUGCGUUAUGCGC